GGCGAACGGGUGAGUAACGCGUGAGGAACCUGCCUUUCAGUGGGGGACAACAGUUGGAAACGACUGCUAAUACCGCAUAACAUACGGAGACCGCAUGAUUUCCGUAUCAAAGAUUUAUUGCUGAAAGAUGGCCUCGCGUCUGAUUAGAUAGUUGGUGAGGUAACGGCUCACCAAGUCGACGAUCAGUAGCCGGACUGAGAGGUUGAACGGCCACAUUGGGACUGAGAUACGGCCCAGACUCCUACGGGAGGCAGCAGUGGGGAAUAUUGGUCAAUGGGCGAGAGCCUGAACCAGCCAAGUAGCGUGCAGGAUGACGGCCCUAUGGGUUGUAAACUGCUUUUAUCGGGGGAUAAAGUGCGGGACGUGUCCCGUUUUGUAGGUACCCGAUGAAUAAGGACCGGCUAAUUCCGUGCCAGCAGCCGCGGUAAUACGGAAGGUCCGGGCGUUAUCCGGAUUUAUUGGGUUUAAAGGGAGCGCAGGCCGGAGGUCAAGCGUGACGUGAAAUGUAGCCGCUCAACGGCUGAACUGCGUCGCGAACUGGCUUUCUUGAGUGAGUUCGAUGUGGGCGGAAUUCGUGGUGUAGCGGUGAAAUGCUUAGAUAUCACGAAGAACUCCGAUUGCGAAGGCAGCCCACAAGGCCUUUACUGACGCUAAAGCUCGAAGGUGCGGGUAUCGAACAGGAUUAGAUACCCUGGUAGUCCGCACGGUAAACGAUGGAUGCCCGCUGUUUGCGAUAUACUGUGAGCGGCCAAGAGAAAUCGUUAAGCAUCCCACCUGGGGAGUACGCCGGCAACGGUGAAACUCAAAGGAAUUGACGGGGGCCCGCACAAGCGGAGGAACAUGUGGUUUAAUUCGAUGAUACGCGAGGAACCUUACCCGGGCUUGAACUGCAGCCGAACGAUAGAGAGAUCUUGAGGCCCUUCGGGGCGGCUGUGGAGGUGCUGCAUGGUUGUCGUCAGCUCGUGCCGUGAGGUGUCGGCUUAAGUGCCAUAACGAGCGCAACCCUUUUCGUCAGUUGCCAUCAGGUGAUGCUGGGCACUCUGGCGACACUGCCACCGUAAGGUGUGAGGAAGGUGGGGAUGACGUCAAAUCAGCACGGCCCUUACGUCCGGGGCUACACACGUGUUACAAUGGGGGGUACAGAGAGUCGGUGCAUGGCAAUAUGCAUCUAAUCCUUAAAGCCUUCCUCAGUUCGGAUUGGGGUCUGCAACCCGACCCCAUGAAGCUGGAUUCGCUAGUAAUCGCGCAUCAGCCAUGGCGCGGUGAAU
This 1268-nucleotide ribosomal RNA is filed under the name uncultured bacterium. RNAcentral's name for it is "bacterial SSU rRNA". It matches the Rfam family "Bacterial small subunit ribosomal RNA", at positions 97 to 1367 of the family's 1533-position model. The record is from RNAcentral.